Molecule: transfer RNA, 76 nt
Filed under: Ignavibacteria bacterium
Lineage: Bacteria; Pseudomonadati; Ignavibacteriota; Ignavibacteria
Description: tRNA-His
Rfam family: tRNA
About the family: Transfer RNA (tRNA) molecules are approximately 80 nucleotides in length. Their secondary structure includes four short double-helical elements and three loops (D, anti-codon, and T loops).
Source: RNAcentral
GCGAGUAUAGCUCAGUAGGUAGAGCGUCAGAUUGUGGUUCUGAAUGUCACGGGUUCGAGACCCGUUACUCGCCCCA